GACGAACGCUGGCGGCGCGCUUAACACAUGCAAGUCGAACGGAAAGGCCUGCUUUCCCUUGUGGAUUGCGGGUACUCGAGUGGCGAACGGGUGAGUAACACGUGAGUGAUCUGCCCCCAACUUGGGUAUAAGCCUGGGAAACUGGGUCUAAUUCCCGAUAGGACUGCAGGGUGGUGCCUGUGGUGGAAAACGAUUUUCUAGUGGUUGGGGAUGAGCUCGCGGCCUAUCAGCUGGUUGGUGGGGUAAUGGCCUACCAAGGCGGCGACGGGUAGCCGGCCUGAGAGGGUGGACGGCCACAUUGGGACUGAGAUACGGCCCAGACUCCUACGGGAGGCAGCAGUGGGGAAUAUUGCACAAUGGGCGGAAGCCUGAUGCAGCGACGCCGCGUGGGGGAUGACGGCCUUCGGGUUGUAAACUCCUUUCGACCGCGAGGAAGCCACCUGGUUGGAAGGGUGGUGACGGUAGUGGUAGAAGAAGCACCGGCUAACUACGUG
This 494-nucleotide ribosomal RNA is filed under the name uncultured bacterium. RNAcentral's name for it is "partial 16S ribosomal RNA". It matches the Rfam family "Bacterial small subunit ribosomal RNA", at positions 28 to 507 of the family's 1533-position model. The record is from RNAcentral.